RNAcentral lists this ribosomal RNA (714 nucleotides) under Arthrobacter sp. PF3B10. Its description in RNAcentral is "bacterial SSU rRNA". It matches the Rfam family "Bacterial small subunit ribosomal RNA", at positions 779 to 1485 of the family's 1533-position model. The record is from RNAcentral. Lineage: Bacteria; Bacillati; Actinomycetota; Actinomycetes; Micrococcales; Micrococcaceae.
UAGAUACCCUUGGUAGUCCAUGCCGUAAACGUUGGGCACUAGGUGUGGGGGACAUUCCACGUUUUCCGCGCCGUAGCUAACGCAUUAAGUGCCCCGCCUGGGGAGUACGGCCGCAAGGCUAAAACUCAAAGGAAUUGACGGGGGCCCGCACAAGCGGCGGAGCAUGCGGAUUAAUUCGAUGCAACGCGAAGAACCUUACCAAGGCUUGACAUGGGCCGGACCGGGCUGGAAACAGUCCUUCCCCUUUGGGGCCGGUUCACAGGUGGUGCAUGGUUGUCGUCAGCUCGUGUCGUGAGAUGUUGGGUUAAGUCCCGCAACGAGCGCAACCCUCGUUCCAUGUUGCCAGCGCGUAAUGGCGGGGACUCAUGGGAGACUGCCGGGGUCAACUCGGAGGAAGGUGGGGACGACGUCAAAUCAUCAUGCCCCUUAUGUCUUGGGCUUCACGCAUGCUACAAUGGCCGGUACAAAGGGUUGCGAUACUGUGAGGUGGAGCUAAUCCCAAAAAGCCGGUCUCAGUUCGGAUUGGGGUCUGCAACUCGACCCCAUGAAGUCGGAGUCGCUAGUAAUCGCAGAUCAGCAACGCUGCGGUGAAUACGUUCCCGGGCCUUGUACACACCGCCCGUCAAGUCACGAAAGUUGGUAACACCCGAAGCCGGUGGCCUAACCCCUUGUGGGAGGGAGCUGUCGAAGGUGGGACUGGCGAUUGGGACUAAG